CAAAGUAUAGUUAAAUCAGUCUAACAUUUCAGUUACGUUGAAAAAUUAUCGUGCAAUUCGGGUUACUUUGA
RNAcentral lists this transfer RNA (71 nucleotides) under Mictyris brevidactylus. Its description in RNAcentral is "tRNA-Val". The record is from RNAcentral. Lineage: Eukaryota; Metazoa; Arthropoda; Malacostraca; Decapoda; Mictyridae.